Molecule: ribosomal RNA, 408 nt
Filed under: uncultured bacterium
Lineage: Bacteria
Description: bacterial SSU rRNA
Rfam family: Bacterial small subunit ribosomal RNA
Source: RNAcentral
GGGCCCGCACAAGUAGUGGAGCAUGUGGUUUAAUUCGAAGAUACGCGCAGAACCUUACCAACACUUGACAUGUUCGUCGCGACUUUAAGAGAUUAAAGUUUUCGGUUCGGCCGGACGAAACACAGGUGCUGCAUGGCUGUCGUCAGCUCGUGUUGUGAAAUGUUGGGUUAAGUCUCGCAACGAGCGCAACCCCUAUCUUUAGUUGCCAGCAUUAAGUUGGGCACUCUAGAGAGACUGCCCGGGUUAACCGGGAGGAAGGUGGGGAUGACGUCAAGUCCUCAUGGCCCUUAUGCCUAGGGCUACACACGUAAUACAAUGGUACAUACAAAGGGAAGCGACCCAGUGAUGGUAAGCAAAUCUCAAAAAGUGUAUCUCAGUCCGGAUUGGGGUCUGCAACUCGACCCCAUG